AUUGCAGUACCUCCAGGAACGGU
Molecule: non-coding RNA, 23 nt
Filed under: Cricetulus griseus (Chinese hamster)
Lineage: Eukaryota; Metazoa; Chordata; Mammalia; Rodentia; Cricetidae
Also listed under: 1 other name
Source: RNAcentral